GACGAACGCUGGCGGCGUGCUUAACACAUGCCAGUCGAACGGAAAGGCCCUGCUUUUGUGGGGUGCUCGAGUGGCGAACGGGUGAGUAACACGUGAGUAACCUGCCCUUGACUUUGGGAUAACUUCAGGAAACUGGGGCUAAUACCGGAUAGGAGCUCCUGCUGCAUGGUGGGGGUUGGAAAGUUUCGGCGGUUGGGGAUGGACUCGCGGCUUAUCAGCUUGUUGGUGGGGUAGUGGCUUACCAAGGCUUUGACGGGUAGCCGGCCUGAGAGGGUGACCGGCCACAUUGGGACUGAGAUACGGCCCUGACUCCUACGGGAGGCAGCAGUGGGGAAUAUUGCACAAUGGGCGGAAGCCUGAUGCAGCAACGCCGCGUGCGGGAUGACGGCCUUCGGGUUGUAAACCGCUUUCGCCUGUGACGAAGCGUGAGUGACGGUAAUGGGUAAAGAAGCACCGGCUAACUACGUG
RNAcentral lists this ribosomal RNA (468 nucleotides) under uncultured bacterium. RNAcentral's name for it is "partial 16S ribosomal RNA". It matches the Rfam family "Bacterial small subunit ribosomal RNA", at positions 28 to 507 of the family's 1533-position model. The record is from RNAcentral.